This 354-nucleotide ribosomal RNA is filed under the name uncultured bacterium. Its description in RNAcentral is "partial 16S ribosomal RNA". It matches the Rfam family "Bacterial small subunit ribosomal RNA", at positions 338 to 684 of the family's 1533-position model. The record is from RNAcentral.
CCUACGGGUGGCAGCAGUGGGGAAUAUUGCUCAAUGGGCGAAAGCCUGACGCAGCGACGCCGCGUGAGGGAUGAAGGUCUUCGGAUCGUAAACCUCUGUCAGCAGGGAAGAACGGUCACUGUUCUAAUCAGCAGUCAAUUGACGGUCCCUGCAAAGGAAGCACCGGCUAACUCCGUGCCAGCAGCCGCGGUAAUACGGAGGUUGCGAGCGUUAAUCGGAAUUACUGGGCGGAAAGCGCUCGUAGGCGGGAUGUCAAGUCAAGGUGGGAAGCCCCGGGCUCAACGUGGGAACUGCCUGUGAAACUGGCAGACUGGAGAGUAGGAGAGGAUAGUGGAAGUCCAGGUGUAGGAGUGA